CCCUGAACGCCUCGCUCAGAGCAGUGGACUGAGAAGGGCGAUGAAAACAAAAAUGGACAUCAAACGAAAAUAGCCAGCCAUCAAUGUCAGACCUCUGACUGGCACAUCACGAAGAACCUGAGGGGAAAAAAGAAGUGAGAGGCCAGAGUCCAGAACAAUGGAGGCUCGCUAUGGUAACAUUGUGUUCAGCUCCAAGUUCGACUCAGGGAACCUGGCACGUGUGGAGAAGGUGGAGAAGGGCAGCUCCAGCCCUCCUACUGACACAGCUUCCAGCGGGGGUGCCCUCUCAGGGUCAAAUCUCACCCCUGACUAUGAGUUCAAUGUGUGGACGCAGCCAGACUGCGGCGGCACAGAGCACGAGAAUGGAAACAGAUCGUGGUUUUACUUCAGUGUACGAGGUGCUGCACCUGGGAAGAUACUGAAGAUCAAUGUGAUGAACAUGAACAACCAGAGGAAGCUCUACAGCCAGGGCAUGGCUCCGCUCGUACGCACGUUACCUGGCAAGAACCGGUGGGAAAGGAUCAGAGACAGACCCACAUGUGAGAUUAUAGAUAACCAGUUCAUCCUCUCAUUCACUCACCGGCUGCUGGAGACGCGAGGGGCGACCACCUACUUCUCCUUCUGCUUCCCAUUCUCCUAUAGUGAGUGUCAGGAGAUGCUGCAGCAGUUUGACAAGAGCUACCCCAGCGCUGCUCAACUCAGUCCGAGCAGCGCCCCAGGCAGUGUGUAUUAUCAUCGGGAGUUGCUGUGCCACUCUCUGGAUGGCAAUAGAGUGGACCUGCUCACUGUGACCAACUGUAACGGGAUGGAAGAGGAGAGAGAACCCCGUCUGCCUAAACUGUUUCCUGACACCAACACUCCAAGACCGCACUGCUUCUCCAGCAAAAGGGUGUUUUUUCUCAGCAGUCGAGUGCACCCCGGGGAGACUCCCUCGUCCUUUGUGUUCAACGGUUUCCUCAACUUUAUCCUGAGAAAAGACGACCCACGUGCUCACGCCCUUCGAAACAUGUUUGUGUUCAAGCUCAUUCCAAUGCUCAACCCAGACGGGGUUGUUCGUGGACACUACAGGACUGACUCCAGGGGUGUGAACUUGAACCGACAGUACCUGAACCCCAGCCCUGAGCUGCACCCUUCCAUCUAUGCAGCCAAAACUCUCUUGCUCUACCACCACACCCACAACCGCCUGCACAACACACAGUCCAGCCCUCACACUAACAGCCCCACACACACGCAGGCCCCGCCCCUCAGCAUCAAACCCGCCAACCAGCAUCAGUCUCCGCCCUUCACUGCACUUGAAGUCAGCUUAAACCAACGAAACGCAGAAAAGGAUGCAAAUCCUGCGCCGGCGGAGGUUCCCAUGGUGAUGGAGGAAAACGCCUGGGUCAACACGGAGAUGGGGAAGGGGGACCACAACAGCUCGUCAAGCUCCACAGAGACUGUAGCUCCUGUUACUGUGGAGGUAACAGAACCACAGGUGGAGGAACAGGAACAGGAAUCAAUUCCACCCCAGGAGGGGGGUGUGGCUUAUUAUGUGGACUUACAUGGCCACGCCUCUAAACGGGGAUGCUUCAUGUAUGGAAAUAGCCUUCCUGAUGAGAGCCAGCAGGUAGAGAACAUGUUGUAUCCAAGGCUGAUAGCUGUGAACUCUGCCCACUUUGAUUUCCUGGGCUGUAACUUCUCUGAGAAAAAUAUGUACGCACGGGACAAGAGAGACGGCCAGUCUAAAGAAGGCAGCGGGCGGGUGGCCAUUCACAAGGCCAUAGGGCUGCUUCACAGCUACACUCUAGAGUGCAACUACAACACAGGAAAAACCAUGAACACCAUCCCACCUGCUUGUCAUGACAACGGACGAGCGACCCCUCCUCCACCGCCAUCAUUCCCUCCAAAAUACACUCCAGAGAUAUUUGAACAGGUGGGGCGUGCUGUGGCGAUCUCAGCCCUGGAUAUGGCGGAGUGUAACCCGUGGCCACGCCUGGUGCUGUCUGAGCACAGCUGUCUGAUGAACCUUCGAGCUUGGAUCCUCAAACACGUCCGCAACACCAAAGGCCUGAACGCACACAUCAACGCUCAUCCUCCACCGAGAAUACACCACAAUGGCAGCAAGGCGUCACCGCCAAAGAGCUUCAACAACUGUCUGUCUGGCUCAGCGUCGGAGAACACGCUCAGCCGCAUUCGCUGUAACAGCCACAGUAGCAGCAGCCAGACGCCCUCCCCGAAGAUGCACAACUCCCCGAGCUUUACUUUUGGCUGCCCCCCAGCCCGAACACACACACAGCACAACGGCACGCACACCAGCGGACGCGGAGGCAACAAGACACUCGGGCCAGUCAGGGACCCUAAGCCUCAGGAGAAGAGACGCCCCCCCCACCACCGCUCCAUCCUACGGUCUCCCAGCAACAGCCACACACCCUCCCGCCCCCCACUCUCACCCCCUUCCUCCUCUUCCUCCUCGUCUUCCUCUGUGUGUGCAGCGGGCUCCUGUCCCCUCCCGGCCUCCGUCAGUAUGACAGGUCUGUACUCCCUCCAGUCCCCCAGCCUCUCCACCUUGCUCCCCUCCCUGCAGGCUCUGCCCCGCCCCGGGCUGCUCUCCAAACUGAGCCCCCUGCUCCUUCAGGGCCUCCCGCCGCCCACCAACACUCCAGCUGGGCCCACCCAGGACUCAAUCUAACCUGACGUGUGAGAGCUUGGGCAGAGUGUGUGUGUAUGUGUGUGUGUGGGUGGACUGAUUGAGUGUGAGCUCUUAAAACUGCCUGGAGUACCAGACAAGGGACUGUCACUACUGAAACGUUCACCUGCCUGGUACUCCAGGUCCUGUGGGUCAGUACACUGUUUGAUCCCGUGUGUGUGUGUGUGUGUGUGUGUGUGUGUGUGUGUGUGUCUGAAACAUUACUGGUGCUAAGCUAAAUUCUCAUCAGAUAUUAUGUUUUUCCUUCCACACAUAUCUGUGUAACGACAUGUAUCUACAGUAUUAGCACCUUAGGAUGAAUAAUAACACUUGAGAGUGCAAACGUUCCUUAAAACUCAAUUGUGACUGAAAUGUGUUUAAAAAUGUUUUUUGUUUUAUUACGAACCAUGAAUCAAGCUUUGCUUAUUACACUGUCGGUAAUAACUGUUCUUGUGGAUGUCCUGCAGACCGGUUAGUGAACGUGUUUAGCAAAGACAGACAGCUGCUUGUCUAUGUAACCUCCACUGUCCCUCAGGACUUAAAGAAAAUACAGUAUAGAUCUAUGGAAGUGUGUUGCAUUCAUAAAAGACACCUUAUCUUGUAAUUAUGAGUUACUACCUUAUAAUUAAAAUGAAAGAUGUAAUUCUAAGGUCCUAAUCUUUGGAAAGGCAUAAAUUUAGAUCCAUGAAGCAUCCAAUAUUUGUUUGAAAGGAUACUUGGCCGAUUUUCAAACAGCUUUGUAUCGUAACUGUGGGUAAUGUGAACUGUGGUAAACUUUCCUCCAUCUUUUCCUAGUCGACCAGUAGUCAUCAUUUAGGGCCAUUACUCGACCAGUCUCCCGCAUGUUUCUGAUAUUAACGUAAUGAUUAAAUGAUAUAUUUUGGUGGUUUGAGUUGAAGGUGUGAGAAAGAAUAGUAUCAGUAACAUUGUUAACACUGUGCUACAUUACAGAGAAAUACAAAACCGUACUAAUGAACCUUCAUUAAUAUAGGCCUAUAUUUUAUCUCCAAGUGCACGUCACACACUGAGCGAGCCGCCUGUUAAUGACGCUGUGGGCUAAUGGGCAUGUAGCUACUUCCAUGUUUCAGAUGAUGCGUCAUGUUUGUAGUCGACCAAUGAAGAUGAGUUUACAUAUCACCUUGGGUUCGUCCUUCACCUUCUCAAAAUGAUCCCACACUUUGGAUUUCCUGCCCGACAUGUUAUUAACUAGCCUGUGGAAUAACCGCAGGUAU
Molecule: RNA transcript, 3897 nt
Organism: Epinephelus fuscoguttatus (brown-marbled grouper)
Lineage: Eukaryota; Metazoa; Chordata; Actinopteri; Perciformes; Serranidae
Gene: agbl5
Gene name: AGBL carboxypeptidase 5
Exons: 13
Source: RefSeq, a predicted model, not a curated record